AUGCCUGGCUCCUUCGAUGCCUCUGAUAUUGCCUCCGUCGCGCGCCCUGGGCCUGCCACCACCUUGCUGGCUGCUGCUGGUGCUGACCCCGUGGAUGUCCGGUGCGCCAUCCGUGCCCGUGGACGCCAGAUGGCUCAAGACGAGGAGUCCGCUUGCCACCACCGCAAGCGCCCGGCUUCCAAGGCUCCAAUCUGCCUGCCUGCCACUGCUGCUGCGCCUGUGAAGAAGGUCUCUCGUCAGGUCGCUUCCAAGGCUUGCUCUUUCGUCGGCUCUACACCACUGCCUGCCACUGCUGUGCAACCGAAGCCGCAGAUCAGCAUGCGCGAACUGAUCGAGAACGCUCGCCUCACCAUGGCUCGCCUCGACAAGGCUCGCUCUGCCUCCGAAGAAGAGGCCAGCCGUCGGUGCGACAUCGAGCGCAGCCGAGCGGAGGCCCGGCGAAAGGUGGAGCAGAUGGCGGACACCGUGCAGUUCAACGACCCCUGGAUCCAUCACUCCGACGUGACCAAGUCCCCUGAGGGGCUGCUCCAAGCACGACAGCAAGCAUGGCGUUAUCAAGCUCACCUCCUCGAGAUGGCUCGUCGACGGGACUUUGCUCAAGCGAUGCAAAUCCACGGGUGA
Molecule: ribosomal RNA, 621 nt
Filed under: Triticum aestivum (bread wheat)
Lineage: Eukaryota; Viridiplantae; Streptophyta; Magnoliopsida; Poales; Poaceae
Description: partial small subunit ribosomal RNA
Source: RNAcentral